This 67-nucleotide transfer RNA is filed under the name Pangshura sylhetensis (Assam roofed turtle). RNAcentral describes it as "tRNA-Ser". Lineage: Eukaryota; Metazoa; Chordata; Testudines; Geoemydidae. The record is from RNAcentral.
GAGGCAGGUGAUACACAAUAAGAACUGCUAAUUCUUAUAUCUGGGGCUAACUACCCCAGCUCCCUCA